GACGUAGGGUGCAAGCGUUGUCCGGAUUUAUUGGGCGUAAAGAGCUCGUAGGCGGCUUGUUGCGUCGACUGUGAAAACCCGCGGCUUAACCGCGGGCUUGCAGUUGAUACGGGCAGGCUAGAGUUCGGUAGGGGAGAGUGGAAUUCCUGGUGUAGCGGUGAAAUGCGCAGAUAUCAGGAGGAACACCGGUGGCGAAGGCGGGUCUCUGGGCCGAUACUGACGCUGAGGAGCGAAAGCGUGGGGAGCGAACAGG
Molecule: ribosomal RNA, 253 nt
Filed under: uncultured bacterium
Lineage: Bacteria
Description: partial 16S ribosomal RNA
Rfam family: Bacterial small subunit ribosomal RNA
Source: RNAcentral